RNAcentral lists this ribosomal RNA (555 nucleotides) under Cnemaspis anamudiensis. RNAcentral's name for it is "partial large subunit ribosomal RNA". It matches the Rfam family "Bacterial large subunit ribosomal RNA", at positions 1815 to 2604 of the family's 2925-position model. The record is from RNAcentral. Lineage: Eukaryota; Metazoa; Chordata; Lepidosauria; Squamata; Gekkonidae.
AUAGCCUUUAGCCAGACAAGUAUUAAAGGUCCAGCCUGCCCAGUGACCCCAUUUAACGGCCGCGGUACCCUAACCGUGCAAAGGUAGCAUAAUCAUUUGUCCCCUAAAUAGAGACUAGUAUGAACGGCUUAAUGAGGACUUAACUGUCUCCUUUGAUCCCCCAAUGAAACUGAUCUCCUAGUACAAAAGCUAGGACAAACACAUAAGACGAGAAGACCCUGUGGAGCUUAAAACACACCUAUUACAUCACAAGUUAACGGCACCAAGCCCCUAUAAAACAGUAUAAGUAAUAAUCGUUUUCAGUUGGGGCGACUACGGAGAAAAAUAAAACCUCCACGACAACAGGCUCACCACCACCCACCAAAGCAAACAUGCUAAACAAUUGACCCAGUAAUACUGACCAACGAACCAAGUUACCCCAGGGAUAACAGCGCCAUCCCCUUAAAGAGUCCAUAUCGCCAAGGGGGCUUACGACCUCGAUGUUGGAUCAGGACCCCCAGGCGGCGCAGCCACUGCCAACGGUUCGUUUGUUCAACGACUAAUGUCCUACGUGAU